This 306-nucleotide ribosomal RNA is filed under the name Triticum aestivum (bread wheat). RNAcentral describes it as "partial small subunit ribosomal RNA". The record is from RNAcentral. Lineage: Eukaryota; Viridiplantae; Streptophyta; Magnoliopsida; Poales; Poaceae.
AUGAAGUGGACAUCGAGGGGGGGGGGGUCUCCGUUUUUUGCCGACGAGCUCGCCACCCAGGCCAAUGCAAAUAAGAAGCGCCAAAGCAUUCAGACGAAGGCAUACACAAAGGAUGAGGACAAACUCCUUUGUGAAUGUUGGAGGGACAUUGGACAAGACCCCAAGAUCGACGCCGAGCAAAAGGCAUCAACCUUUUGGCUAAGAGUUCAUCGCCAAUUUCAUGAGCGCAAGAAGUUCGCGCCGUACAAGAUGGAGAGCAAGCGUGGGUGGGUGUCCCUCUCAAAGCAUCGAAGGGUCAUACAAUAA